Molecule: ribosomal RNA, 447 nt
Filed under: uncultured bacterium
Lineage: Bacteria
Description: partial 16S ribosomal RNA
Rfam family: Bacterial small subunit ribosomal RNA
Source: RNAcentral
ACCAGACUCCUACGGGAGGCAGCAGUGGGGGAUAUUGCACAAUGGGGGGAACCCUGAUGCAGCGACGCCGCGUGGGUGAAGAAGCGCCUCGGCGCGUAAAGCCCUGUCAGCAGGGAAGAAAAUGACGGUACCUGAAGAAGAAGCCCCGGCUAACUACGUGCCAGCAGCCGCGGUAAUACGUAGGGGGCAAGCGUUAUCCGGAUUUACUGGGUGUAAAGGGGGCGCAGACGGCGAUGCAAGCCAGGAGUGAAAGCCCGGGGCCCAACCCCGGGACUGCUCUUGGAACUGCGUGGCUGGAGUGCAGGAGGGGCAGGCGGAAUUCCUGGUGUAGCGGUGAAAUGCGUAGAUAUUAGGAGGAACACCAGUGGCGAAGGCGGCCUGCUGGACAUUAACUGACGCUGAGGCGCGAAAGCGUGGGGAGCAAACAGGAUUAGAUACCCCCGUACU